ACGAACGCUGGCGGCGUGCUUAACACAUGCAAGUCGAACGGGCCUUGUCCCCUUUUUUUUUGGGGGUGGGGUUAGUGGCGAACGGGUGAGUAACACGUGAGUAACCUGCCCCUCACUUCUGGAUAACCGCUUGAAAGGGUGGCUAAUACGGGGUGUUCUGGCCUGCUCGCAUGGGUGGGUUUGGAAAGAUUCGACCGGUUUUGGUUGUUUUGGUGGGGGAUGGGCUCGCGGCCUAUCAGCUGGUUGGUGGGGUGAUGGCCUGCCAAGGCUUUGACGGGUAGCCGGCCUGAGAGGGUGGGCGGUCACACUGGGACUGAGACACGGCCCAGACUCCUACGGGAGGCAGCAGUGGGGAAUAUUGCACAAUGGGCGCAAGCCUGAUGCAGCGACGCCGCGUGAGGGAUGGAGGCCUUCGGGUUGUGAACCUCUUUCGCCAGUGAAGAAGGUCCUGCUCUUUGUGGUGGGGUUGACGGUAGCUGGGUUAAUGAAGCGCCGGCUAACUACGUG
This 507-nucleotide ribosomal RNA is filed under the name uncultured bacterium. RNAcentral describes it as "partial 16S ribosomal RNA". It matches the Rfam family "Bacterial small subunit ribosomal RNA", at positions 29 to 507 of the family's 1533-position model. The record is from RNAcentral.